AGAGUUUGAUCAUGGCUCAGGGUGAACGCUGGCGAUGUGCCUAAGACAUGCAAGUCGAACGGGGUGAGUAGGUAGCACAGAGUUCCGAUAUUUAUCAUCGGAAUUGUGUGCUAUCUACCUAUUCAGUGGCGAACGGGUGAGUAUAAAACAUGAACGUCCUCUCAAGCGGAGUAUAGCCACGCGAAAGCGUGGGUAAUCCUCCAUAAUGCCUCCGGGCUAAAGACGCAAGUCACUUGAAAAUCGGCGUGUUUACUACCAGCUAGUUGGUGAGGUAAUGGCUCACCAAGGCUAUGACGGUUACCGGCUCUUAGCGGAGAGUCCGGCACAAUGGGACUGAGACACGGCCCAUACUUCUACGGAAGGCAGCAGUUAGGAAUUUUGCGCAAUGGACGAAAGUCUGACGCAGCGACAUCGCGUGAGGGAUGAAGGUCUUCGGAUCGUAAACCUCUUUUUGGGGGCCAUGAAGGCCGCCAGAAUAAGGAACUACUAACUACGUGCCAGCAGUCGCGGUAAUACGUAGGUUCCAAGCGUUACCCGGUUUUAUUGGGCGUAAAGGGUCUGUAGGUGGUUUUCUAAGUCUUGUUUUAAAGCCUCCAACUCAAUUGGAGAUCAGGGCAGGAUACUGGGAAACUAGAAUUAUAUCGGGGUUACUGGAAUUUGUCGUGUAGGGGUAAAAUCCGUGGAUACGACAAAGAACACCAAGAGCGAAGGCGGGUAACCAGGUAUUAAUUGACACUCAUAGACGAAAGCUAGGGGAGCAAAUCAGAUUAGAGACCUGAGUAGUCCUAGCUGUAAACAUUGCCUGUUAGUUCUGUGGCAUCUGCUGCGGAAUGUAAGCUAACGCGUUAAACAGGCCGCCUGGGGAGUAUAGCCGUA
Molecule: ribosomal RNA, 876 nt
Filed under: uncultured bacterium
Lineage: Bacteria
Description: bacterial SSU rRNA
Rfam family: Bacterial small subunit ribosomal RNA
Source: RNAcentral